ACAACACAGGUUUAUUAUUAAGUGGCAUGGUUGCACGUCGAUAGCUUUGCAUUAGUUCUCUCCUUAUUCAAGCUAUAAAUAAUUUUCCAAUAUUGUUUCAUCCUCGCACGCGUAAGCGCCCAUAAGCCACGUUGAGCGAUAGUUUUCUCUUCGUACACAUUAAAAAUAUCAUCUUGAGGAGGGAUCACAGCCUAUGGCUAAUGGAAAACUGCUCUAUAAUAAUAUCUUUCGUGGCCUCGUUGCAACACACUUUUCAAUACGAAUGAAUAUUAAAGUGUGACGUACUGUUAUCAGCAAUAUUAAUCACUAUUUUUAAACAAAGUGUUUGCCAAUAAGGACAAGGUUACCUUGUACAUACUCAGAGAAGUGAAUCUUAGAAAUGGACAGUUGCAUUAUUUCUCUAAUGGAUGGGAUGGAUGAAAUUAACGUUCCUUUGACCUUACAUUUCGUUGAUGAAUAUCGAAAUAUAUAUAUGUAUACAGCUAACAUUCUUGCAUGCUCCAUUAUGUCUCCAGUGGCGACUCAAUGAGAUUGGUUGAUAAUUUAGUUCUCGUGAUGUCACGUGAUUAUAUUAAAAAUUACAUUUUUAUAUACGCAAAAUGAGUAGACUGGAAGUAGGAUAAAGAAUAAUUCAAGAAAAAGAAAUCAAAAUCAUUUAAAAAUUAUAAACUAUUCCAUAUAUAAAUAAUAUUAUAUAAUUUAAUAAUAUUAAUCUUUCUUAAAUUUGUUUGGCGAUUGUAAUAAGUUGCAAUAGAAUUCAUACAAAUUCAUAAAAAUAUAGCAAAUAUAAUUAAGUAAAUAUUUUGUCUUUAAACCAUUUUCUUAUAUCUCUAAAACAUUUCUUACAAAAUUCACAGUCCAAUUAUUACUUUUGAUCUCAGUUUAACCCUUUGUGCAUAUUUUUUUGGAAUAUAUUCUAGAAUCCAAUGAAACCAACUGAAAAGACACCACAAAGUGUCUGUUUUAAGUGGUUCUAAAAAAAAAAAAAAAAAAGAGCAUGGCCGAUCUUGGUGACGUUUUCCUCGGAUGUGAUUCUACGAACCACUCUUUGUACGUCUGUUGGCAGUGAGCCGAAUGAGACGCAACUGUCCCGAACAAUUCAACUCCUGAUCUUAACUUUGUAGAAUUCACUCCAUUAAAUUGUAAGUUUAAGUAGUUACAAAUGCAAUUUAAAGAGAUAAGCGUUCAACCUGUUACUAUAUCUAUAUAAUUUGGAAAUUGAUAGAGUUCCAAUUCCAAUAGUUCGACGUAUCGGCACGAAUACUACUCAUAUUGUAUUGCACUCAUAUCGUAUAUUCGCAAGAUUUUUCUAUCAUUUUGUAAUUAUACAUUAUUGUAUAAUAUUAAACUGACUGUUGCGUUACGUUGUUAACGAUGUAUAAUGCUUCGACAAGAUUGUCCAUUGUUUCUUCGAAACAAUGCCGAUCGUACAAUCUACUGGAAAUCCGUCAAAACUUCUGCAUUCAUCCAAUAUUAUACGAAUACGAUACGAUAAUAUUUAUAUUUAAAAGCGCACAAUAAUGUUUCACAAAAAAUAAAGGAAAUUCUCGCGCUAAAUCUUACUUAAUGUCAUGGAUCUAUCGAACAUUUGUAAAAUGAUUUGUAAAAUGAAUACGUAUGUUGUAAUUAAAUCUAUUGUUAUUAUAUAAGUUCAUAAAAUAUAAAGAUACGAGAGCGGAGAAGAAAAGGGAGAAAGGAAAGAAGAAAAAUUUGUCCGCAUUUGCAAAAAGGUUAAUAAUGAAAAAUAUCUCCAGUAUUAUCCUACUUACUUUUCGCUGAUGCGUGCUCCCCAAUGCUCAUUGUUGCUUAACGACAACAUGUCACAUUUCUCGUUACACCGCGGUUAAUAAAAGUCCCAUCACCAGUCACCGGCAUCUUGGCUCUCGUGAACAUGAUGACGGGCAGAGAAUUCUAUUUUUCAUCGAUCGAAUCUUGUACGGAGUUGCAUUCUUCCUCGAAGGAUAUCACAUCAGAAUACAAUACAAUAUAACAAGAUUAUUAAAAAAUUAAAAAUCACUUCGAUAAAAUGAUAGUAAUAAAAUCUCUGUUAUAACUGUGAAAAUUUCACGAUCUGAUCGAAACAAGAUAUUCUUGAAAGGAAUAUGCUAUUGUAAUAUUAAAAAACGUUUGAACAUUGGCUAUUCCUGAUAAACGUUUUAUUUGGAGGUUUUAUUUGGAAAAGAAUGGAAAUUAUAUACUCAAUUUUUUUAAUCGAUGAAGCAAAAGAUUAAUCCUAAUCCACUCGUAUUAUAUGACUAUCGUAUGUGUAAUACAUCGAAUUUUAUUCAUUUGUUUACGAAUUUUUUUUCGUAAUUAAUACAUGCUCGUUCAAUGUCUAUUUAACAAAAAUUAAAUAAUUAUUCGAUGAAGCUAUUUCAAUUCGAGGAAUACGAUUUAAUGCGAAUUUUUUAAUCUUGAUUGGAAAUUUUUAAACUUGAAUCACAGUAUAUAUUAUAAUUAAUAACUGCAUUUUUUCCAUUCGAAGAAUUUUACAAUGUUUGAAAGAAGCUUGUAAGUAUUUAAACAAAUAUUGAAUUAAUUAACUCGUACUAUAGAAGUUUGAAAAGUGAAGCCUUUUUAUUUUGUCUGUUUAGCACCGAAAAAGCGUUCGAUAAGAAUUAUAAUAAGAAAUAUUCGAAAUGAAUUAAUUACUGUUAAAAAACAGUGAAUUCGAAUAUAAAAUUAUUACAUAAAGUAACGAUUAAAUAGAUAAAUUAUUUUUUUUAUUUAAUAAUAUAGCGUAUGGAAAAAUGAUAAUAUGGAAAAUAUAAUAAUUAAAAUGAAUUAGAAAAAUAAUAUUUGACAACUGAAAAUGUCGUCUUUUCCAUUUCGUUGAAGAUUAAAAAGACAAAUACUAAAUCUAGAACUCAGGAAAACUUCAAGAAACUCGUAGUUUGAAUUACGGAUUCUUUAAACACUUGAAUAAUUCUUUUUUUUUUUUUUUUUUUCUUUCAGAUUUCAAUUAUCAAAGUUUUAUGAUAUCUUAGCUGACAUAAUAACCUUCUUCAUUACGAAUUAUUACUUUUAGUUUUAUGUUCAU
Apis laboriosa (Himalayan honeybee) is the source of this 3040-nucleotide long non-coding RNA. RefSeq lists it as uncharacterized. The transcript is spliced from 6 exons. NCBI's taxonomy places the organism in Eukaryota, Metazoa, Arthropoda, Insecta, Hymenoptera, Apidae. The record is from RefSeq and is a predicted model, not a curated record.